This is a long non-coding RNA of Bombus huntii, 7106 nucleotides long. RefSeq lists it as uncharacterized. Lineage: Eukaryota; Metazoa; Arthropoda; Insecta; Hymenoptera; Apidae. The transcript is spliced from 5 exons. The record is from RefSeq and is a predicted model, not a curated record.
CAAAUGAUAAAUACAAAUAUAAACAGUCUUAACACUCCAACACUAUUGUUUUUCAAAGGACGAAAAUCUGAGAUUUCAACACUGUGCAUCAGAUUGUCAUUUCCUGCAAUACUAAAAACUCGACAUACUCGACAAGAAAUCGUGAAAUUUGAUAUACAGUUGCAUUGAUAUUGAGAAGACACAGUUACAUUAACAUCUUUGUAUUUGUCGUUGUGUACAAGAGGAGAUGGUUGAAAUAUUAGGUUGCUCGUUGCGAGAGGUUAGGAAGCAUUUAUUGCAGUUUGAAAAUACGCAAAGAAUUUCUUCCUAAAGUCCAAUUACACAAUAAAUUUUGAAGAGAAAGCAAUUUAAACGGAAGAUAGGAAGUUGCAUGUUUGCUGGAAGACUGACAGCGAAUACUUAUUGAAAAUACUUCUCAUUCACUAUACAUUCACUAUGAAUUCACUCAUACAUUCAUGAGAUUUAUUUGAAGACAAAAACAAAGCCCAACUUUUCCACACAUUGGUAGGGAAUCGCGUUAGGAAUUCUUUUCAUUAGCAUUACGUUCUUCCAAAGGGAAUAGUUGAAAAGCCGCGGGAACUUUCAGUGACUAGUGUCGAAACAGGAGUUGCAGAAAACAUUGCGAGCGCAACUGAGCAAAAUUCCUGAAACUUUUUGACAAACGAUCGGAAAUAAAUCAACGUAACGUUGGUUGGUGUUUCUCUGUGGCGAACAACCGAGUCGAUUUCUCAGAAUAAAAUUUACGUUGCAGCUAGCGGAAAGCCGGUACGACGAAUCAAAGAGGAAGUAUAGGUUAGGUUGGCUUGGCUUGGCGAGAGGAAACAGGUCGCAAGUUUGAUCGCGUCGCGUUCGCUUAGAGCUUAAUUAAAAUCAAGAUCGUGUUGCCAGUGAAAGGAGUGCAGAUCCUUUCGGAAUACUUUGCCACGAGUUUCAAACUUCUUGCAAUCCCGUCGCAGGAAAAUGAAACGAUGCAAAGUUUUAUAUCGGGCGCACGCGUAAACUUACUUAACCUUCGCGACAAACAACUGGAAAGAUUGGCCGCCUGUGAAAGGAAUUUAAAACGUAUUCCAGGUUUUCUUUGCUCAGCGAUACUUCCUAUUUCUUUUUUUGCUUUAACUUUUCUACUUCCACCUUUUUCUUUGUCAUUUAUUAUAGUCUUUGGAAUUCUAAUUGGAAAUAAUUCAUUUAUUAUAGUCUUUGGAAUUCUGGUUGGGAAUAAUUCAGCCAGAAAGCAUAUGGUAAGUUAUUGUUCGUAGAAACGCUAAUUUCGUCCAUCACAGAGCAUAAUUAUACACCUUCCUUUUUAAAUGUCACGAGCUUCAGAUUGAAGAAUUUUAACUUUGAAUUGGUAUCACUGGCUAAUUUUCAACGAGCUAUUUCAUUUUAAAGCACUUCAUAAUAUACUACUUAAGGAUUAAAUGAAUAUUUAGCGUCUAAAAUUACAUGACAGGUUCACGUUGAUAAAACAGUUUCCAUUUGUUUGGACGCAUAUAACUUGUUUAAUCUGAACAAGACUUCAUAAGGACAAAUAUAGAAUUUUGAAUGGAUAUCUCAAAUGAACUAAGCAAGUUCACAUCGAUAAAACAGUUGCAAAUCGUUCGAAUCGUAGGUAAUUUGUCUAAUCUGAACAGCGCUCUGUCUCAUUCGAUAUUAACACGAAUGCUAUGGGGGUCACCGGUGACCGGCGCACCAACAUUAGUAGAAAUACAUUAUUUGAACAAAUUCAAUAAUUAUAAAUUUGUUAUUAUUAUCAUCGUUACUACAAUGGUAUGACGAAAUUAAUGCAGUAUAAAAUAUAUAAAAAUAGUUUUAUUUAUACAUGAAAUAUACGUCUAUUACGUGCGCCCUCCAUCAGUGGCUGUCGAACAUGGGAAAAACCCGCUUUUUCCGUGUUUUACCUUAACGAACAGUAACCCUAUGGAACGUUUCGACUUGAAACAUGUUUAAUGGAAAUUAAGGACGUUGACAGUAAAGUAAAAGAUGCUAAAUCUUGUGACGGUUCUUUAGGAUUAUUGCUGGUCCGAAUAAGUAUGAACGAGGGAUACGUUAUGGUUUAUGGUACAUCCUGGGACCUAACAACAUAGAACAAUUAUUUAGCAACGCGAAGAAACAAUAUAAGAUAAUUGACAAUCGCAAAAAGUAAGUGAAUCGAGCGAAAUUGCACUACAGCGCCGUGGGGGUCACCGGUGACCUCAGUGAGAUAAAUUCAUUAAUGAUGAUUAUACACCGUAGCAUAUCUGUUGUAGGUAAUAUUUCAACAUUAUAUGUAUCGCAUAAUAACGAAAUUCAUCGUGGCGCCACGGCCAAACCUUGUAAAACUGGCGUGUCAUUCAACGUCUUAACACUUUACCGAUCGAUAGCCGAUUAAUCGGUUUUUUGUCACCAACGAUUACCGACCGAUAGUCUAUUAAUUUGCUUUUUGUCGCCGACAAUCUUUCUCAUUAUUUGAGCAGUAAUUUGUUAUUUAGUACUAAGGUACCUUACGCAGUCGCGUCAGUUGCGUUGCUUUGUAAGCUUCCACCGUUUUAUACCAAUUUGAAAAACGUACCGUUCGCAAUAAACAAAAAGAAUGGUAUCGGAGACUGUAAACCGAAACAGAGCCAGCGCCAGGGGAGAAUCUGCGCCUGAGAUGCCGGUCGGAUGUGCGUAUGCUGUUGAAUCGUUAACGGUCGGUAAAAUGUUAAGAAUACGUACUGGGUUGGCAACUAAGUCAUCAGGUAGUAUUGACGAAAUCCGCAAUCACGUAGUUGCCAACCUUACCUUAGUUUGUCUCGGUUUGAACAAAACGCGUGCGAACUAAUGUGAAUUUAUUUGAAGAGUUUGUAAAUUCCCGUUGAAAAGGGAAUUCUCUCUUCACCAAGUAUCGUUCUGGCGUACUCUAUCGUGCGGAUGUUGGCAAAUUGAAAUCGAUCGAUCGCGCGGGAACCACCCUUUCCUUCGUUUUAUCCGGCAUUCCUUUUUGCAGCGUGGCCUGAUUCAAUUUCAAGAACAGACGCAAUCACUUAGAACAGAGGAAAAACCCGGCGCAAAGAAGGAAAGCAAGAAGCGGAAAGUAUUUUUCCGGAUGAGCAAGGAGAAUGCUGGUUGGACGCUUCCGGCGUCGCCCAUUAACGCCCGAUUAGAAACAUAUCUUUCGUAAAAUUACCGUUUCCAGCUUUGACUCGAGACCACCGCCCCGGAUGCUCGUUCUUUGCCCAACUGUGGGGCGGUUCUGACCCAUUCUUUCUCGCUUUUCGUUUCUUUCCAACGUCCGUUUGAGCACACGAGACUUGAUAAGAAUCUUAGGACGAUGGAAGUUUGAAAUAAAUUUAUUUGCACGAUAAGUGAAAACGCGGAAAAUUUGUAUAUUUUAGUAGCAUAAGGUUUUAAUUCGUACAACUUCAUGGAACUUGGAUCAGGAUAUUGAUUAGAUGGUAAUUUGAUUACCAUUAGAUGGUAAUGACAAAAUCCGCAAUCACUUAGUUACCAAUCCAAUAAACCUUGAGACAAAAGCUCGGUCUCUGUCAUUGUGAAAUCGUAUCGAUAUAAUGUCUAUGAAAAAUAACCUACUGUUACCGAUUAGACGUCUGAAGGCUCGCGACACUCGUAUCUGAAGAUGUUUCAUAAAUUGUAGAACCUUCACAACAGCACAGGUAGAAAGAUGUAUCCGUAAAUCGGAUACAUCUUCUAUUCAAUUUCACGAUAUCAAUUUUCUGCGUCUUAAAGAUUAAGUUUAAACGCAAAACGUUUAUUCGUGAAGAAAUAAUUGAUAACCUAAUCUUCUUCUUAAUCUGUCUUAAUAUUUUGUAAGCGUCGAUUAUGUUGCCAUAAUUUAUCACUAUAUGAAAUUCCUCAUCUAAGAACGAGCGGAUGUUAUCGAAUUAACCUUUAGAAACUCGAUGAAUCUUCGAUGGCGGGGAACGUGGCGAGAUAACGAAAGACACGAUCGAUUUACUGUGCGUAUCGUCGAUACAUGUAGGUACAUGUGAUAAGCAGAACAGGAAUCUAGGGAUUUUCGGGAUUAGCCGUAACGCUGACAGAGGCGAAACUUACGCGCACUAACUCGACCCGGUUCAGAUCGAACGGUGUCGAUCGGAAUUGCGGCGCGUUAGGUUUGACAUGAGGUAAGCCGUGGAUUCGCCUUGUGAUUAUGAAUUUACCGAUAUCGGUUUAUCCAACCUCGCAGGAAUUUCAAACUAAUUUGUCGUUCGUGUAGGGAAUUCAAAGCUGUCUCUUAGGUCUUUCUCGUUUCAUGAUAACUCGCUAAAUGUAUUUUGACAAGUACUUAAAUAGGGAAAUUAAUUAACAUUGAUUAGUCUGUGAAAUGAAUUUAUUCUUCACAAAUGGCCGUAAAAAGCUGAAAAAAAUUGAAAUCACGAUAGAUACGAUCGAAAAACAUACGUAAUCGACGUAAUUAGACUCGAGCACUGCGAUCAAUAAUAUGCUACAACCGAGAACACGUGUGAAAUCGAGGAGAUAUUAAUCUAUUGCGACUAAUACUAAUCAAACGUCAUCGUCUUCUUUCAAAUUCUACACAACGUACAAGUUUUUCAAAUUACAAAUUAUCCACUUGAUAUUUUCGUCGCAAUUCCAUCAGCCUUCGCUAUGCAGAGAAAACGACUAGCUUCGUUAAUAAUACGUUACGACCGAAAAAGCGUGAGAGAUCAAGGCGACCCUAAUCUAUUACAUCACGACCAAUCGGAUGAACGUUCGUCUUCUUUCAAGCUCCACGCGGUACAAGCUUUCCAAGCUACAAAAUCAUUUACUAAAGUAAUCUAUACUAAUAUUCUCGUCAGAAAACCAUUCUUUACUACGUAGAAAUAGCAGGGCAUCGCUCAUCGAGCGGCCAAUUGGAUGCUCGACGACGCAAUUAGACGUGACCACUUCCAGCGAUAUUACAGUUGAAAAUUAUGGAUCUUAGUCGCCGAAAUAAAUGUAUAGCAACGCUCACAUUACACGUGGAAAUGAUAUUAAAAUAAUUUCAUAUUUAUUUAAUACGUGAUUAACAAGAUAUUCGUGGAUACACAUUGCACGCGUCUCAGCACUCUCUUGUCUCACCAUCUUUCUACCACUAUGCGUACGGAACGGUUGCGUUGAGAUAGAGGAACGAUUGGAUGAAUUUGUAACAGAAAAAUAUAUUGAAAUAAGCAUAAAUACACGUAUAGUGUAUAAGGUCAAAUUCAAAUAAAUUGUUAUCACUAGUUAUUAAUUUAAUGUGUGAUAUUGUUGAGGUUAAGUGAUAGAGAAACGAUUGGAUGAAUUUGUAAUACAAAAAUAUAUUGAAGUAAGUACAAGUACGGGUAUAGUGUAUGAGAUCAAAAUUAAAUAAAUUGUUGUCAUUAUUUAUUAACUUAAUAUAUGAUAUUGAAGAGGUUAACUGAUAGAGGAACGAGUGGAUGAAUUUUUAAUAGAAAAAUAUAUAGGAAUAUAAGUAUAGGUAUAGUGAGAUCAAAAUCAAGUAAAUUGUUAUCGUUAUUUAUUAAUUUAAUGUGUGAUAUUGUUGAGGUUAAGUGAUAGAGAAACGACUGGAUGAAUUUGUAAUAGAAAAAUAUAUAGAAAUAUAGUAUAGGUAUAGUGAGAUCAAAAUCAAGUAAAUUGUUAUCGUUAUUUAUUAAUUUAAUGUGUGAUAUUGUUGAGGUUAAGUGAUAGAGAAACGACUGGAUAAAUUUGUAACAGAAAAAUAUAUUGAAAUAAGUAUAAGUACAAGUUGACUGAUAGGUGAACGACUGGAUGAAUUUGUAACAGAAAAAUAUAUUGAAAUAAGUAUAAGUACAAAGGUUAACUGAUAGAGGAACGAGUGGAUGAAUUUCUAAUAGAAAAAUAUAUUGAAACAACUAUAAGUACAGGUAUAGUGUAUGAAGUCAAAAUCAAAUACAUUGUUGCCAUUAUUUAUUAAUUUAAUGUGUGAUAUUGUUGAGGUUAAGUGAUAGAGGAACGACUGGAUGAAUUUGUAAUAGAAAAAUAUAUAGAAAUAUAAGUACAGGUAUAGUGAGAUCAAAAUUAAGUAAAUUGUUAUCGUUAUUUAUUAAUUUAAUGUGUGAUAUUGUUGAGGUUAAGUGAUAGAGAAACUACUGGAUGAAUUUGUAAUAGAAAAAUAUAUAGAAAUAUAACUACAGGUAUAGUGAGAUCAAAAUCAAGUAAAUUGUUAUCGUUAUUUAUUAAUUUAAUGUGUGAUAUUGUUGAGGUUAAGUGAUAGAGAAACUACUGGAUAAAUUUGUAACAGAAAAAUAUAUUGAAAUAAAUAUAAGUACAAGUAUAGUGUAUGAGGUCAAAUUCAAAUAAAUUGUUAUCAUUAGUUAUUAAUUUAAUGUGUGAUAUUGUUGAGGUUAAGUAAUAGAGGAACGAGUGGAUGAAGUGGAACAGAAAAGUAUAUUGAAAUAAGUAUAGGCAUAAGUAUAAGUACAGAUAUAGUGUAUAAGGUCAAAAUCAAAUAAAUUGUUAUCAUUAUUUAUUAAUUUAAUAUAUCAUAUUGUUGAGGUUAAGUGAUAGAAAAACGACUGGAUGAAUUUGUAAUAGAAAAAUAUAUAGAAAUAUAAGUACAGGUAUAGUGAGAUCAAAAUCAAGUAAAUUGUUAUCGUUAUUUAUUAAUUUAAUGUGUGAUAUUGUUGAGGUUAAGUGAUAGAGAAACGACUGGAUGAAUUUGUAAUAGAAAAAUAUAUAGAAAUAUAAGUACAGGUAUAGUGAGAUCAAAAUCAAGUAAAUUGUUAUCGUUAUUUAUUAAUUUAAUGUGUGAUAUUGUUGAGGUUAAGUGAUAGAGAAACGACUGGAUGAAUUUGUAAUAGAAAAAUAUAUAGAAAUAUAAGUACAGGUAUAGUGAGAUCAAAAUCAAGUAAAUUGUUAUAAUAUUUAUUAAUUUAAUGUGUGAUAUUGUUGAGGUUAAGUGAUAGAGAAACGACUGGAUGAAUUUGUAAUAGAAAAAUAUAUAGAAAUAUAAGUACAGGUAUAGUGAGAUCAAAAUCAAGUAAAUUGUUAUCGUUAUUUAUUAAUUUAAUGUGUGAUAUUGUUGAGGUUAAGUGAUAGAGAAACGACUGGAUGAAUUUGUAACAGAAAAAUAUAUUGAAAUAAGUAUAAGUACAGAUAUAGUGUAUGAGAUCAAAAUUAAAUAAAUUGUUGUCAUUAUUUAUUAA